RNAcentral lists this ribosomal RNA (479 nucleotides) under Prevotella sp. oral taxon 781. Its description in RNAcentral is "bacterial SSU rRNA". It matches the Rfam family "Bacterial small subunit ribosomal RNA", at positions 28 to 497 of the family's 1533-position model. Lineage: Bacteria; Pseudomonadati; Bacteroidota; Bacteroidia; Bacteroidales; Prevotellaceae. The record is from RNAcentral.
GAUGAACGCUAGCUACAGGCUUAACACAUGCAAGUCGCGGGGCAGCAUGUUGGUUGCUUGCAACCGAUGAUGGCGGCCGGCGCACGGGUGAGUAACGCGUAUCCAACCUACCUAUUACCACGGGAUAACCCGGCGAAAGUCGGACUGAUACCGUAUGUUGUCCUCCAAUGGCAUCAGCAGUGGACUAAAGGUUUGGCGGUAAUAGAUGGGGAUGCGUCCGAUUAGCUAGUUGGUGAGGUAAUGGCUCCCCAAGGCUUCGAUCGGUAGGGGUUCUGAGAGGAAGGUCCCCCACACUGGAACUGAGACACGGUCCAGACUCCUACGGGAGGCAGCAGUGAGGAAUAUUGGUCAAUGGACGAGAGUCUGAACCAGCCAAGUAGCGUGCAGGAUGACUGCCCUAUGGGUUGUAAACUGCUUUUAUGCGGGGAUAAAGUGGGGAACGUGUUCUCUAUUGCAGGACCGCAUGAAUAAGACCGCAU